This 255-nucleotide ribosomal RNA is filed under the name uncultured bacterium. Its description in RNAcentral is "partial 16S ribosomal RNA". It matches the Rfam family "Bacterial small subunit ribosomal RNA", at positions 524 to 776 of the family's 1533-position model. The record is from RNAcentral.
UACGAAGGGGGGCUAGCGUUGCUCGGAAUCACUGGGCGUAAAGCGCACGUAGGCGGAUUGCUAAGUCAGGGGUGAAAUCCUGGAGCUCAACUCCAGAACUGCCUUUGAUACUGGCGAUCUCGAGUCCGGGAGAGGUGAGUGGAACUGCGAGUGUAGAGGUGAAAUUCGUAGAUAUUCGCAAGAACACCGGUGGCGAAGGCGGGUCUCUGGGCCGGAUACUGACGCUGAGGAGCGAAAGCGUGGGGAGCGAACAGG